GUGUCAGCAGCCGCGGUAAUACGUAGGAUGCAAGCGUUGUCCGGAAUUAUUGGGCGUAAAGAGUUCGUAGGUGGUUAUCUAAGUCUGGUGUUAAAGACGGGAGCUCAACUCCCGCAUGGCAUUGGAAACUGGAUGGCUAGAGUGUGAAAGAGGUAACUGGAAUUCCUAGUGUAGCGGUGAAAUGCGCAGAUAUUAGGAGGAACACCUGUGGCGAAAGCGAGUUACUGGUUCAUUACUGACACUGAGGAACGAAAGCUAGGGUAGCAAAAGGGAUUAGAUACCCCCGUAGUCC
RNAcentral lists this ribosomal RNA (292 nucleotides) under uncultured bacterium. RNAcentral's name for it is "partial 16S ribosomal RNA". It matches the Rfam family "Bacterial small subunit ribosomal RNA", at positions 505 to 796 of the family's 1533-position model. The record is from RNAcentral.